Molecule: ribosomal RNA, 301 nt
Filed under: uncultured bacterium
Lineage: Bacteria
Description: partial 16S ribosomal RNA
Rfam family: Bacterial small subunit ribosomal RNA
Source: RNAcentral
CAGCCGCCACGGUAAUACGGAGGGUGCAAGCGUUAUCCGGAUUUAUUGGGUUUAAAGGGUCCGUAGGCGGACUUAUAAGUCAGUGGUGAAAGCCUGUCGCUUAACGAUAGAACUGCCAUUGAUACUGUAAGUCUUGAGUAUAUUUGAGGUAGCUGGAAUAAGUAGUGUAGCGGUGAAAUGCAUAGAUAUUACUUAGAACACCAAUUGCGAAGGCAGGUUACCAAGAUAUAACUGACGCUGAGGGACGAAAGCGUGGGUAGCGAACAGGAUUAGAUACCCCCGUAGUCCCUGUCUCUUAUAC